Molecule: small RNA, 389 nt
Filed under: Pongo abelii (Sumatran orangutan)
Lineage: Eukaryota; Metazoa; Chordata; Mammalia; Primates; Hominidae
Description: processed transcript
Source: RNAcentral
GCAUCAGCAUCCCAUACACAUGGAACCACACCGUUUUCUAUGAUCAGGCACAGGGAAGAAUGCCUUUCUUGGUUGAAACACUUCAUGCAUCCUCUGUGGAAUCUGACUAUAACCAGAUAGAAGAGACACUGGGUUUUAAAAUUCAUGCUUCAAUAUCCAAAGAUAUUAAUGAAUGUCAAGAAUCCAGCCCCUGUCACCAGCGCUGUUUCAAUGCCAUAGGAAGUUUCCAUUGUGGGUGUGAACCUGGGUAUCAGCUCAAAGGCAGAAAAUGCAUGGAUGUCAACGAGUGUAGACAAAAUGUAUGCAGACCAGAUCAGCACUGUAAGAACACCCGUGGUGGCUAUAAGUGCAUUGAUCUUUGUCCAAAUGGAAUGACCAAGGCAGAAAAU